AGAGUUUGAUCAUGGCUCAGGAUGAACGCUAGCUACAGGCUUAACACAUGCAAGUCGAGGGGAAACGAUAUUGGAAGCUUGCUUCCGAUAGGCGUCGACCGGCGUACGGGUGAGUAACGCGUAUCCAACCUGCCCACCACUUGGGGAUAACCUUGCGAAAGUAAGACUAAUACCCAAUGACGUCUCUAGAAGACAUCUGAAAGAGAUUAAAGAUUUAUCGGUGAUGGAUGGGGAUGCGUCUGAUUAGCUUGUUGGCGGGGUAACGGCCCACCAAGGCGACGAUCAGUAGGGGUUCUGAGAGGAAGGCCCCCCCANAUUGGAACUGAGACACGGUCCAAACUCCUACGAGAGGCAGCA
This 357-nucleotide ribosomal RNA is filed under the name uncultured bacterium. Its description in RNAcentral is "bacterial SSU rRNA". It matches the Rfam family "Bacterial small subunit ribosomal RNA", at positions 8 to 353 of the family's 1533-position model. The record is from RNAcentral.